Molecule: long non-coding RNA, 2825 nt
Filed under: Mus musculus (house mouse)
Lineage: Eukaryota; Metazoa; Chordata; Mammalia; Rodentia; Muridae
Description: long non-coding RNA chr10:50682190-50685015
Source: RNAcentral
GUUGUAUUCAGUUAUCUUCAAAGAUAUACAAGUAUAUACAUGUGGAAGGUAUUUACUCAUUUUGAGGCACUUUCUGCUUUUUUCUUUCCAUGUGUAUGUGUGAGUUUGGUGUACCUGAAUGUGUGUGUAUGCAUUUUGGUAUGUGUGUGUAUGCUGUUACCCUCACUUUUGCAAUUUCACACUGCAAGUUCUUUGCAUUGAGACAGUACUUACUACUGUCCUUUUGAUGCACUCUUUCUAUUCAUCUUGCUAAUGCAUAAAUGUGUGUUUGCUGAUGUAGUACGGAGAAGGACAAAUAGCUUAUUUGUAUUUGCUUUACAUUUUAGGUUUUCCAAGAUUUAAUUGAUUUGAAUAGAAUAUUUCUACCUCAGAAAUAAAAUAUAUUAAUUUAUAGAAGCCUGGUAAUAAUUAACUCAAUAAAACUGACUAAGAAUGUAUAUCUUCUCACCUAAUUAGAAAUACAAAUUCUAGGGGAAAGAGAGAUAGCUCAGUGUUUAAGAGCACUGACUUCUCUUCCAAAGGUCCUGAGAUCCAUUCCCAGCAAUCACAUGGUGGCUCAUAACCAUCUGUAAUGGGAUCUGAUGCCCUGGUCUUGUGAGUCUGAAGACAGUGACCAGUGUAACACACAUAAAAUGAAUAAUAAGUCUUAUAACAAGGAAGGAAGGAAAAAAGGAAGGAAGGAAGGAAGGAAGGAAGACUAGGUCUACCGUUUAGUAAAGAUCCACUUUAAAUUUAUUAUUUGAGAAAAUUAUGUUUGAAUGUUUAAGACUCAUGGUGACUUUUUUUUUGUAAAGAUGAAAAUACACAUAUUCAAAGAGGUCUUAGAAAUAUUUUCUUUUGUUAUUUUCUUGAAAUCAGAACAGUUUUCAUAGUGUUCCAGUAUAAUAAACUUCCAUAUCCAGUGUAUAGGAGGAAUUAUUAUCAGAUAUUUCUUUAAUGAAUUAAUUACAUGAGUAAUGUAAUCACUGGUUUUGCUUAAUUUGUUCUACACAAUAGAUAUUGCUGUCAGGAACAAAAUAGAAGAAAUUUGGCUAUUUGGAGAUCAGUAAAAUAUUUUUUUCUUUGUGAUACUAUUUUAUAACAACAAAGGCUUCACUAUUUUGUUUAUUAUUCUCUAUUGUAUUAACCUAGGUUGAGCAAUGGAUUAAAUAUGUUGAAGCUUAUGCUAUGGCAACAAAUUAGAAGGUAUUUUAGAUUAGAUAUUACUUUUCAAAUAUUAGUUAUAUUUGACAUCAUAAAGCCAUGAGCAAGGUACUUGGAAUUUUAGAACUAUUUUUUUUUUUUUUGGUCUUCAUUACAUUAUCCAUUAUAAGUAGAUUAGAUUCACUAGAUAACCUUUGAAACCCUCAUUUUUGUCUCUAAGAGCUAUGAUAAUACAUGCAAUAAAUAUAAAAAGAACUGAAAUUCUGAAAGAUUGAUUUCCAAAUUUGCAUUUCUUUAAAGAGCUGAGAACUUUUUGCUUUCUAUCUUGAUGAAUUCCAGACUUUUUCACAUACAAAGAGUAAUAUAACAUUUAUCUUUCUAUGUCUAUUUAUUUUACUUUCCCCUGUUGUAGCAUAUACAAUGACUUGUGGCAUGAAGAUGCUAUUGUGUUUAUAUGUUUAUGUAUUGGUGGAUAGUAGUAUUAUUUAUACCUCUGGGCCAUUCUUGAGGAAGAUUUGAAAACAUUUGCAUCUAAAUAUCCAUUGGGAUAUUCAUUUUUACUUAUUUUGCAUAUUUGGCUAGGAAAGAAAUGCAGUUCAUGGUAAUUAUGUUUAAUGUAUCAAGAAAUACAUAAGCUUUUCACAAAAACUGUGCCUGUUUAUAUUUUCCAUAGCAGUGUAAGAGUUUACAUGAUACACAUGUUUAAACAGAAUAGUGCAAUUCAAAUCAGACCUGGAAAUACCUCCAUUUCCUUGGCGACCCUCGUCCUGUUUCUUUGUAAAAGUGCAGCUAUUCCGCUUUCUAUGAAAUAGCUUUUGAUCUCAUCUCCAAACCCAAGAAAUAAUGAUACAAAGCAUCUUUUCAUUGCUUAUUGGCCAUUUGUACAGUAUACCAUCUUCCAGAAAAGGUUUUUCAGUACUUUUAAGCCCAGUUGAAUUUACAUCUUGCUACUUCUUAUAACUGUUACCACACACAUGGUUUGCAAAUAAGUCUGUCAUUCUGUGGCUCUCCUUUCCCUCAUUUGAUGCUGUUUUUGAUGCACAGAAUUCUUAACUUACUGUCUAAUUUUUCUAUUUCUGUUGCUUGCUUUUAUUAUAUUUAGGAAACUAGUGCCAAAUUUGGGGACAUGGAGAGUUGCUUCUGUUUUUCUGUUUUCCUCUAUGAGUUGUAUAGGUUUAGCUUUUAAAUUUAGCUCUGUUUUUCUUUUCAUGUCAAAUAUUUUGUAGAUGGUACAAGGUAAGAAUACAGUUUCACAGUUUUGCAUGUAGCCUUUGUUUUCCUGGCACUGUUUACUGAAGAGACUGUUGUUCUUUCUUCGUGGAAACAUCCAAGCAGAUGGAAACUAUUGUCCAUCAUCAUCAUCAUAAGUAAUAUAAUAUGCAUUGAUUUCAUCAGAGUUAGGAUAACUUGUCCAUACAUUCAAGCUAUGGAUGGACUAAUGCUCCACACAUAGAGAAUAAGCAGAGGAAAUUAUCUUUAGUAGCGGUUCCAUUGCCAGUCAUCCACUGCUAGUGGAUCUGUCACCAUUAUUGAUGCUGGAUAUUUAAUGGUCUUUAUGCAUCCCUUUUGUGCUAGAUGAAAAGGAGGUCUUCCAAUGAAAGAAUGGAUAAAGUAGUAAGUAUGACUAGAUUUUUUUUUUUUUACACACAUGGUUAAACAAUAAAAGCAAUUCAGAUUGGGCU